AGAGUUUGAUCAUGGCUCAGAGUGAACGCUGGCGGCGUGCUUAACACAUGCAAGUCGAACGGUAACAGGAAGUACUUGUACUUUGCUGACGAGUGGCGCACGGGUGAGUAAUAUAUAGAUAAUGUGCCCCUUAGUCUGGGAUAGCCAUUGGAAACGAUGAUUAAUACCGGAUACUCCUUUUCAACAUAAGUUGGAUUGGGAAAGUUUUUCGCUAAGGGAUCUGUCUAUAUCCUAUCAGUUUGUUGGUAGUGUAAGAGACUACCAAGACUAUGACGGGUAGCGGGUUUGAGAGGAUGAUCCGCCACACUGGUACUGAGACACGGACCAGACUCCUACGGGAGGCAGCAGUGAGGAAUAUUGCACAAUGGACGAAAGUCUGAUGCAGCAACGCCGCGUGGAGGAUGACGCAUUUCGGUGUGUAAACUCCUUUUAUAUGUCAAGAAAAUGACGGUAGCAUAUGAAUAAGCACCGGCUAACUCCGUGCCAGCAGCCGCGGUAAUACGGAGGGUGCAAGCGUUACUCGGAAUCACUGGGCGUAAAGGACGCGUAGGCGGGAAGUCAAGUCUGAUGUGAAAUCCUAUGGCUCAACCAUAGAACUGCAUUGGAAACUGGCUACCUAGAGUAUGGGA
RNAcentral lists this ribosomal RNA (629 nucleotides) under bacterium enrichment culture clone BIG B-Brut-47. RNAcentral describes it as "bacterial SSU rRNA". It matches the Rfam family "Bacterial small subunit ribosomal RNA", at positions 8 to 653 of the family's 1533-position model. The record is from RNAcentral.